UUCCGACCCCAGGUCAGGUGGGACUACCCGCUGAGUUUAAGC
RNAcentral lists this ribosomal RNA (42 nucleotides) under Viscum album (European mistletoe). RNAcentral's name for it is "partial 26S ribosomal RNA". Lineage: Eukaryota; Viridiplantae; Streptophyta; Magnoliopsida; Santalales; Viscaceae. The record is from RNAcentral.